UACAAUGUUUUGACUUUUCGUCUUAUUUGAAAUUUUUUUGCGAUUAAUAUUUUUAUUUUUACUGGAUGAUAAAAUAUAAAUAGUACUUUAUAUGUGAUUAAUUUAAGUUUUUUUACAAAAUUUUCAAAUAAGAUGGAUGGUUAAACGUUGGA
This 152-nucleotide microRNA precursor is filed under the name Oryza brachyantha (malo sina). Its description in RNAcentral is "MIR812 microRNA precursor family". It matches the Rfam family "MIR812 microRNA precursor family", at positions 27 to 179 of the family's 205-position model. Lineage: Eukaryota; Viridiplantae; Streptophyta; Magnoliopsida; Poales; Poaceae. The record is from Rfam by way of RNAcentral.